GCCAGUGUAGUACAAUGGUUUGAGUGUUGGACUACACCUUUGGAGACCAGGGUUCGAAUCCCAGCUCGGUCA
Molecule: non-coding RNA, 72 nt
Organism: Phrynosoma platyrhinos (Desert horned lizard)
Lineage: Eukaryota; Metazoa; Chordata; Lepidosauria; Squamata; Phrynosomatidae
Source: the annotation of a GenBank genome assembly